UUAGUUGCCAGCGGUUCGGCCGGGCGACUCUAGGGAGACUGACCGGUGACAAACCGGAGGAAGGUGGGGAUGACGUCAAGUCCUCAUGGCCUUUAUGUCCAGGGCUACACACGUGCUACAAUGGCGCGUACAGAGGGACGCCAAACCGCGAGGUGGAGCAGACCCCGAGAAAGCGCGUCGUAGUUCGGAUUGCAGUCUGCAACUCGACUGCAUGAAGUCGGAAUCGCUAGUAAUCGCGGAUCAGCAUGCCGCGGUGAAUACGUUCCCGGGCCUUGUACACACCGCCCGUCACACCAUGGGAGUAGAUUGUACCAGAAGCGGCUAGCCUAACCUUCGGGAGGGCGGUUACCACGGUAUGGUUUAUGACUGGGGUGAAAGUCGUAACAAGGUAGCCGUAGGGGAACCUGCGGCUGGAUCACCUCCUUUAAAGAAAAGGGUCUAGACCCCACACACGCCACUCGGUAAGGAAUUU
RNAcentral lists this ribosomal RNA (472 nucleotides) under uncultured bacterium. RNAcentral describes it as "bacterial SSU rRNA". It matches the Rfam family "Bacterial small subunit ribosomal RNA", at positions 1111 to 1533 of the family's 1533-position model. The record is from RNAcentral.